RNAcentral lists this transfer RNA (84 nucleotides) under Gemmatimonas groenlandica. RNAcentral describes it as "Gemmatimonas sp. TET16 tRNA-Leu". It matches the Rfam family "tRNA". Rfam says of the family: Transfer RNA (tRNA) molecules are approximately 80 nucleotides in length. Lineage: Bacteria; Pseudomonadati; Gemmatimonadota; Gemmatimonadia; Gemmatimonadales; Gemmatimonadaceae. The record is from RNAcentral.
GCCCAGAUGGCGGAACUGGCAGACGCACGGGACUCAAAAUCCCGCGCCCGCAAGGGCUUCCGAGUUCGACCCUCGGUCUGGGCA